GGAUUACCUCAGUAACGGCGAGUGAAGCGGUAACAGCUCAAAUUUGAAAUCUGGCCUCACGGUCCGAGUUGUAAUUUGUAGAGGAUGCUUCGAGCAUGGUCUGGCCUAAGUUCCUUGGAACAGGACGUCAUAGAGGGUGAGAAUCCCGUAUGCGGCCAGGUGCCUACGCUCAUGUGAAGCUCCUUCGACGAGUCGAGUUGUUUGGGAAUGCAGCUCAAAAUGGGUGGUAAAUUUCAUCUAAAGCUAAAUAUUGGCCAGAGACCGAUAGCGCACAAGUAGAGUGAUCGAAAGAUGAAAAGCACUUUGGAAAGAGAGUUAAACAGUACGUGAAAUUGUUGAAAGGGAAGCGCUUGCAACCAGACUUGCGCGCGGCCGAUCAUCCGGUGUUCUCACCGGUGCACUCGGCCGUGCUCAGGCCAGCAUCGGUUUUGGCGGCUGGAUAAAGGCCCUAGGAAUGUAGCUCCUCUCGGGGAGUGUUAUAGCCUAGGGUGCAAUGCAGCCUGCUGGGACCGAGGACCGCGCUUCGGCUAGGAUGCUGGCGUAAUGGUUGUAAGCGGCCCGUCUUGAAACACGGACCAAGGAGUCUAACAUCUAUGCGAGUGUUUGGGUGUCAAACCCAUACGCGUAAUGAAAGUGAACGGAGGUGAGAACCCUUAAGGGUGCAUCAUCGACCGAUCCUGAUGUCUUCGGAAGGAUUUGAGUAAGAGCAUAGCUGUUGGGACCCGAAAGAUGGUGAACUAUGCCUGAAUAGGGUGAAGCCAGAGGAAA
Molecule: ribosomal RNA, 768 nt
Filed under: Thelebolales sp.
Lineage: Eukaryota; Fungi; Ascomycota; Leotiomycetes; Thelebolales
Description: partial large subunit ribosomal RNA
Rfam family: Eukaryotic large subunit ribosomal RNA
Source: RNAcentral